AACGAACGCUGGCGGCAUGCCUAACACAUGCAAGUCGAACGAGACCUUCGGGUCUAGUGGCGCACGGGUGCGUAACGCGUGGGAACCUGCCCUUAGGUUCGGAAUAACUCCCCGAAAGGGGUGCUAAUACCGGAUAAUGUCUUCGGACCAAAGAUUUAUCGCCUUUGGAUGGGCCCGAGUUGGAUUAGCUAGUUGGUAGGGUAAAAGCCUACCAAGGCGACGAUCCAUAGCUGGUCUGAGAGGAUGAUCAGCCACACUGGGACUGAGACACGGCCCAGACUCCUACGGGAGGCAGCAGUGGGGAAUAUUGGACAGUGGGCGAAAGCCUGAUCCAGCAAUGCCGCGUGAGUGAUGAAGGCCUUAGGGUUGUAAAGCUCUUUUACCCGGGAUGAUAAUGACAGUACCGGGAGAAUAAGCUCCGGCUAACUCCGUG
This 433-nucleotide ribosomal RNA is filed under the name uncultured bacterium. RNAcentral's name for it is "partial 16S ribosomal RNA". It matches the Rfam family "Bacterial small subunit ribosomal RNA", at positions 29 to 507 of the family's 1533-position model. The record is from RNAcentral.